This 442-nucleotide ribosomal RNA is filed under the name uncultured bacterium. RNAcentral's name for it is "partial 16S ribosomal RNA". It matches the Rfam family "Bacterial small subunit ribosomal RNA", at positions 338 to 795 of the family's 1533-position model. The record is from RNAcentral.
CCUACGGGUGGCAGCAGUGGGGAAUAUUGGGCAAUGGACGCAAGUCUGACCCAGCAACGCCGCGUGAAGGAAGCAGGCUUUCGGGUUGUAAACUUCUUUUAAGGGGGAGGAGCAGAAGACGACACCCCUUGAAUAAGCCACGGCUAACUACGUCCCAGCAGCCGCGGUAAUACGUAGGUGGCAAGCGUUGCCCGGAUUUACUGGGUGUAAAGGGCGUGCAGCCGGGCCGACAAGUCAGGUGUGAAGUCCGCGGGCUUAACCCGCGAACUGCAUUUGAAACUAUUGGUCUUGAGUACCGGAGAGGUAAUCGGAAUUCCUGGUGUAGCGGUGAAAUGCGUAGAUAUAAGGAAGAACACCAGUGGCGAAGGCGGAUGACUGGACGGCAACUGACGGUGAGGAGCGAAAGCGUGGGGAGCAAACAGGAUUAGAUACCCGGGUAGUC